CCCACCCUGUUGAAUGACAAUAGGCACACUCCAUCAUCAAAACCCACAAAAAUAAACAGACAUUUAUGCUAAUAUUAAACUGACCUAGAAGUUAGGGCAACCCCAGAAUUUUUUGUCCUUGUUUUUAGGGGUUCUCGUAAUGCGUAAAACUCCAAUGUGACCAUAGAAGCAAGUGGGUUUUACACCCAACCUCCUAAUACUAGCACUACUGUGUUGGAAGUCCAAACCCAAACACUUACAAGACGAAGAUGAACGAGACAUUUCCUCAGCUGCACAGUGCUUCAAGAACC
Molecule: long non-coding RNA, 290 nt
Filed under: Vigna radiata
Lineage: Eukaryota; Viridiplantae; Streptophyta; Magnoliopsida; Fabales; Fabaceae
Description: long non-coding RNA (VRAD_LNC010029)
Source: RNAcentral